GACGAACGCUGGCGGCGUGCUUAACACAUGCAAGUCGAACGGAAAGGCCCUGCUUUUGUGGGGUGCUCGAGUGGCGAACGGGUGAGUAACACGUGAGUAACCUGCCCUUGACUUUGGGAUAACUUCAGGAAACUGGGGCUAAUACCGGAUAGGAGCUCCUGCUGCAUGGUGGGGGUUGGAAAGUUUCGGCGGUUGGGGAUGGACUCGCGGCUUAUCAGCUUGUUGGUGGGGUAGUGGCUUACCAAGGCUUUGACGGGUAGCCGGCCUGAGAGGGUGACCGGCCACAUUGGGACUGAGAUACGGCCCAGACUCCUACGGGAGGCAGCAGUGGGGAAUAUUGCACAAUGGGCGGAAGCCUGAUGCAGCAACGCCGCGUGCGGGAUGACGGCCUUCGGGUUGUAAACCGCUUUCGCCUGUGACGAAGCGUGAAUGACGGUAAUGGGUAAAGAAGCACCGGCUAACUACAUG
RNAcentral lists this ribosomal RNA (468 nucleotides) under uncultured bacterium. RNAcentral describes it as "partial 16S ribosomal RNA". It matches the Rfam family "Bacterial small subunit ribosomal RNA", at positions 28 to 507 of the family's 1533-position model. The record is from RNAcentral.